Cryptomeria japonica (Japanese cedar) is the source of this 669-nucleotide long non-coding RNA. RefSeq lists it as uncharacterized. The record is from RefSeq and is a predicted model, not a curated record. NCBI's taxonomy places the organism in Eukaryota, Viridiplantae, Streptophyta, Pinopsida, Cupressales, Cupressaceae. The transcript is spliced from 3 exons.
AAGGAUUACUCCAACAAGCACUGAUGUUCCUAAUGUGGGUUCAGUUAGAAUUCUACCACCAACAUCCAAACAAGUUUCCUUGAGGAGUCUCAUAGAUUCCCAAUCUAGAAUACUAAGGCUUGUACCAGAUACUCCUGAAAAUAUUCCAAUUAGACAAGAAAUAAGCGAACAAAUUCAGUUAUGGGAAAGGGCAUUAUUGGAGAGUGCAAGGCCUAGCUCAGAUGAAUAGGUUCACCAUUUUCAAAAGGAAUCUUCAGAGGAGGACCUAAAAUAUGCUUUAUUACAUGGUUCCCAAGGCCUAUGACAACAUAUUCUAGAUCGAGGGGAGAAAUUAGUGAGUGGUCAUGAAUCUGAGGAAGCCCAACAAUCAAACUCAUCAGGUAGUGAGCAUGAAGAGGAGCUAGAGGAUCAUGAUGAAGUUUUUGUUGCACACAAUGAUUCGACUGUCAUUCCUGAAACUCGGGAGGAAACCAUCCUUGAAUUUUAGAAAGUGGGAGACAAUAAUAUUGAGGAGGGUAUUCAAUGUGAUGAACAAUCCACACCCACAAUCAGAAAAGUGCCUCAUAGAAAUAUGAAAGAAAGAAAGAGGAUGGAUAGAAACAAAUGAACACAAGACAUAUUGGCUUCCUAUCAUUGUUCAGAAUUCAUUACUAUUAUAAACCUAAUGUA